CCUANGGGAGGCAGCAAUCAGGAAUUUUCCGCAAUGGACGAAAGUCUGACGGAGCGACGCCGCGUGGAGGAAGAAGGCCUUCGGGUUGUAAACUCCUUUUAUGUGGGAACAAGUUCUGAGUGUACCACAUGAAUAAGGUGCUGCAAACUACGUGCCAGAAGCAUCGGUGAUACGUAGGCACCAAACUUUAUCCGGAUUUACUGGGCGUAAAGAGAAGCGUAGGUGUCUUGGCAAGUCUUAUGUUAAAUCUAUCGGCUUAACCGAUAAACCGCGUGAGAAACUAUCAAGAUUGAGUCAGCUAGGGGGAGACGGAAUUUCCAGUGUAGCAGUGAAAUGCGUUGAUAUUGGAAAGAACACCAAUGGCGAAGGCAGUCUCCUGGGGCUUGACUGACACUAAGGCUCGAAAGUGUGGGGAGCAAAACGGAUUAGAUACCCCANUANUC
RNAcentral lists this ribosomal RNA (443 nucleotides) under uncultured bacterium. RNAcentral describes it as "bacterial SSU rRNA". It matches the Rfam family "Bacterial small subunit ribosomal RNA", at positions 338 to 795 of the family's 1533-position model. The record is from RNAcentral.